Molecule: long non-coding RNA, 765 nt
Organism: Cyprinus carpio carpio
Lineage: Eukaryota; Metazoa; Chordata; Actinopteri; Cypriniformes; Cyprinidae
Source: Ensembl
UCCGUCUCGCCGCUGCAGAUGUGCAGUCUUUCUGCAGACAGAGCUGCUAUAACGAGGAACAUUUACCAAAAAUUUGAUUGACGUUAUCUAAUGCAAAAGUCUGAAAUUAGAGCACGUUUAAAAACUUCUAUUCGCUACUGUCUUGCGUUGCUUGUUCUCAGAGCUGAAUAUCAUGUCUAUCGUGUCGUCAUAUCUGCGUCAAGACACAAACGCGCUUCCGUGAAGUGUUUCUUAUGACAAGUAACGUUUCGUUUAUGCAAGUAUCGUGAAAGUACGCAGCCCCGCACGUCACUUGUAGGAGAAAAACAUACAAUCCGGCUGCGUAUGAAUGUGAGUUAAAGAAGCCUCAGAAGACCUUCAAGGAUCCAGUUGACCUCUGAAUCAGCUGUUAAGAAAAUGGGACAGUUAUAUUGCUUCAAUUGGUCUCCUACUUCAUUUGAUUCCACCAUCAUUACAAGGCUGCAAGGGAUCUGGAAAAAUGUCAUCCUGUCAAGCUGAAAAACCAUCUUCAAAAAGGCACUAACAAGAACAGCUUGAUUGUAGAGAAGAGUCCACACAGCCAUACACGCUCACUGAUGGGACGAUGAGGAACAUCAUUCAUGGAUGCCACACAACUCAAAUCUACACGUCAUAUUUGUUCAUGUCUAGGUAAAUUUGAUGAUUUUGUGUUUUAUUAACUACUUUGUUUCUGUGCAACACUUAAUGAAUGUGACUGACUAAUUAACCUCUACACAUCUGGUAUAUGCUUUAAAGUUGCCACUUUGC